AACAAAAUAUCUGAAAGAUAUUAACUGUAAAUUAAUUGUUGAGGCCCCCUCUUUUGUUA
This 59-nucleotide transfer RNA is filed under the name Coleolaelaps cf. liui XFX-2019. RNAcentral describes it as "tRNA-Tyr". Lineage: Eukaryota; Metazoa; Arthropoda; Arachnida; Mesostigmata; Laelapidae. The record is from RNAcentral.